UCAAAUACCUCUCUGCUUUAUAGGACUGUCCUGAGGUACCAGUAAGAUCACCUCUCUCUUUGCAACCUUGACCAUCCACAACAGCUGAGUUCUACCAGAAUCAUGAAACUAUCAAUGAAUAAAGGGAGUCUCACGAUGGCUAGACACAGAAUUUUCACUUUUUCACAGGAGCUGGACCUACACUAUUGAACUCAUUCCUACUGCAGUCACACAUGCUGCUGGGCUGUCAAGUUGAGGGGGGACAAGGCAAGAGAUUCUGCAUUAAGAUUUAUGUGAGCAUCUUUCUGACAUCACAAGAUGACUAUGGAUUGAUGUGCAUUGGCUGAUACGAGUUUGACCAAACAGGAACAAACUCAUCACUACUCAAACGUGGAACUUAUAAGAAUGACUACUAUCAAUGAAUGACAACUAGUAU
Molecule: long non-coding RNA, 415 nt
Organism: Gopherus flavomarginatus (Mexican gopher tortoise)
Lineage: Eukaryota; Metazoa; Chordata; Testudines; Testudinidae
Exons: 3
Source: RefSeq, a predicted model, not a curated record